AUACGGGGGGGGCUAGCGUUGUUCGGAAUUACUGGGCGUAAAGGGCUCGUAGGCGGCCUGUCAAGUCGGACGUGAAAUCCCCCGGCUCAACCUGGGAACUGCGUCCGAUACUGGCUGGCUUGAAUCCGGGAGAGGGAUGCGGAAUUCCAGGUGUAGCGGUGAAAUGCGUAGAUAUCUGGAGGAACACCGGUGGCGAAGGCGGCAUCCUGGACCGGGAUUGACGCUGAGGAGCGAAAGCCAGGGGAGCAAACGGGAUUAGAUACCCCGGUAGUCCUGGCCCUAAACGAUGAAUGCUUGGUGUGGCGGGUAUCGAUCCCUGCCGCGCCGGAGCUAACGCGGUAAGCAUUCCGCCUGGGGAGUACGGUCGCAAGGCUGAA
RNAcentral lists this ribosomal RNA (377 nucleotides) under uncultured bacterium. RNAcentral describes it as "bacterial SSU rRNA". It matches the Rfam family "Bacterial small subunit ribosomal RNA", at positions 523 to 898 of the family's 1533-position model. The record is from RNAcentral.